RNAcentral lists this long non-coding RNA (3191 nucleotides) under Mus musculus (house mouse). RNAcentral's name for it is "long non-coding RNA chr4:126700838-126704029". Lineage: Eukaryota; Metazoa; Chordata; Mammalia; Rodentia; Muridae. The record is from RNAcentral.
UAUCUAGUCAAAGCUUAAAAAUGAGCAGGUGGGGUUAUUUAGGUUUUGAUAUUACUGCAUAUAGGCAUUACACUGGGUGCUUCACAUGUAUUUAAGCCUCAGGAAAAUUUAAAAUGGCCUGGAUCUCUUCACUUGGUAAAUAAGCUCAUGUCUGACCACACCCCCACACACCUCAACACAUGCACCUGGAAUAAGGGGUUUGUUUGUUCUUUUGUUUUUUGUUUUUGGGGGGGGGUUUGGUUUGGUUUGGUUUGGUUUUGGGGUUUUUUGUUGUUGUUUUUGAAGACAGAGUUUCUCUGUGUAUCCCUGGUUGUCCUGAAACUCACUCUGUAGAUCAGACUGGCUUCAAAUUCAAGAGAUCUGCCUGCCUCCGCCUCCGCCUCCGCCUCUGCCUCCGAGUGCUGGGACUACAGGUGUAGAACACUACCUCCUGGCCCAGAGGCAAAAUUUUUUAGUUGAGUAUGAUGAUGCAUGUCCAUAAUCCCCACACUGGAGAGAUGAGACAAUGUUUACAAGUUCAAGACCAGCCUAAUCUACCGGGUGAGUUUCAGACCAGCCAGGGCUAUAUAAUAAGAUCCUCCUGUCUCUACCAGCUUCCCAAAAAGAGAAAGGCAGAAUUGUUGCAAUAUCUUAGUCCAGAGGCUAAAAGCUAUUUUUAAGUCCCCAGAAUGAUUUAUUUGAUUUUUUUUUCCUUUAUAUAUUAUACACAAUUUUAAAACCAAACAUGUUGGUAUUUAUAAACUGUUGGUGGUGAUUCUCGGGCUAUUAUUAAGGAGUGUGGAUUCAUUUACAAGAUGGACAGUUGAAUAUUUGCAUUGUUUAAAAUAUAUACAACAUUCCAUCUCAGCCUUGGCUAUAGAACAUGGCUAGUGGUCUAAUGCACAGGUCUUUACUGGCAGACAGACCUCUUAACUUUGUCUUAUGUCUUUGACAGAAUAGAGGUUACUUGCUAAAUUGUUAUUGGUGUUUGCACUUCUCAAUAGUUAGGCUGAUUCUUCCAUGUGAUACUGUGCACGGAAAAGUACAUAAGCUAGAGAGUAAUGCUUAGGAUAGACACGUCUGCAAGAGACAGCAUGGAAAUGCUUAAUAUGUGUCGACUAGGUUUCCAAAUAACAGGUCACAUUUUUUUCUGGGGACCUAGGGGAGACUGACCAUAACACUGUAAGUAAGAUAACACUCUGUCUAAUAUCGCUGUCAACCUUAGGGCGUGGGUAAGGAAUCCGAACGUAAAGGCUAAGAAACUUUGUGUUUGUUUGUUUUUUCAUGACAAGGUUUCUCUGUGUAACUCUGGCUGUCCUGGAACUCACUCUGUAAACCAGGCUGGCCUCGAACUCAUAGAUCGUUUUCCUACCUCUGCCUCCCGAGUGCUGACCCUGAGGUGUGUACCACCACGGUCUGCUGAGACAAUGAAACUUCAUUUACUGCUUUACCUGCAUGUUCCAGGUAACGUGCUGGGCACUUUGAGGAAACAUCUCUCUGAAUCCUUUUAUAAAGAUACAUCCUGGAAGGAAUUUACCUUGUGCCAGGAGUGCUUGGGCUUCCUAAUUACUUUUAAUUUCAUCGAUUAGUUUAUUUCCUUGAUAGUAAUAUCUACCACUUAUCAGGCCUGUCCCUGUGCUUUAGAUACUUGUCAAGCAUUAUCUCUGACCCUUCACUGCAGCCCUUUUGUACUAGGCCUUAUUUUAGUUGAGCUUCUAGAAUUCAGACUUUUCCUAAAGUAACAUAUUAAUAGAACCAGAAUUCAAACUCAUGUCCAGGACUUUGUUACAUGGCUUGUUCCUUCCUGAGUUGUUUUUAUGCUAUUAGUUUCCUCUUUAUUUAUUACAUAAUGUCUAACUUGCUUCCUAAGCUUUUUAUCCUUAGCAACUCAUGUCUGGAGGGAAGUUGGAAAGAGGCAACAGAUCUGCUUGCUUAUGGAGAUGCAGACAUUUGACUUGAACUUGAAACACUUCUCAGAAAUGGGGCUUUGGGGACUGGAGCACUGUUUUUGGCAGAGGACCUGGUUCAGCUCCCAGCACCCACAUGGCAGCUCACAACUGUAGCUCCACUUCCAAUGGAUCCAAUACCCCUUCUGACCACUGAGGGCUCUUGUCUACAUGUGCUGCACACACAUACACUCAGACGUAUACACAUAUAUUUAAAAUAAAUAUUUUUAAAAGAAAAAGUAGUGUCUAUCACAUCUUUGCUUUGAUUUAGUUGUUAAUGUUUGCUUGUAAUAUUAAGCAUUAACCAUACAUAAUAAAUAAAGCGUGCGAUGUUUUCUCUGGUGUAUGAGGACUCACUCAUUUAACAAAUGUUUAUUAGCUACAGGCUGUGUACCUGUCUGUCAUUGAACAAGACAGAAGUACUCCUGCCUUCAUAGAGUUUAUAAUACAUAAAAUAUUUGUGAAUAGGUGAAUUGUAUACUGUUUCACUCAUCACACCACAAGAAGUCACGCUUGUGUAAGUUGUUGAAUACAAGAACUAUAGAAACUUAGAGCUAUUAACUUUUGUGUAGAACCAUUCAGAAUAGCACACAAAUGAAUUACUUAGAAUUGAUCUAACUUCAGGAAAACAGUGACAACAUACAAAAAUUUGUUUGAAAGUUAAAGAAAAAACUAAGAAACUAGAUAAGUCAAAAAGUCUUAGCUGGAGCUUUGUCAGAGUUUCUGAAAGUGCAGUUGUCACACAGAUGUAUUGACUUAAUUAGUCGAUAACACCGCUCAGUUAUGCUUCAGCAUCUCACACAUGCACAAGUUGGUAACUCGAAGUCACACAAUAUUUGUGAGUUAUCUUCUAUACCACAAGUUUUAGUGUCUGACUACCAACUUCUCUGAGUGUAUAUAAGAUGCUUAAGCAUAAAUAAAUUAUAUUAUGUAGCUCAAGUGAGAAACACAGUUGCUUCCGAACUUGUGUUUGCAUGGGGUUUCUUAUAAAAUCUUCUGGUGAUAUGGAUUCCUAAUAUACCAUACAACUUUGUAAAACUGUUUUGGUUAAUUGUCCUAAGGGUAUUCUAGCUGCAUGGAGUUGGGAAGAGUGAGCUAUAUAUAUACUUGGAGAAAAGAUUAAACUUACUCUGUGAUAGGUAAGAAGUUUAUCAUGCCAGGUGGCAGAAGCAGGCAGAUCUUUGUGAGUUCAAGGCCAGCCUGGUCUACAGAAUGUGUUCCAGGACAGCUAAAGCUACACAGAGAAACCCUGUCUGGGAACACCCC